GUAUGCAUCAGCCCCCGAUUGAUACGGCCACAGAGUAGGUGGACACCUGCAUGCCUCAGUUUCCUCACGGAAGAAGCAGAGAUGCGUUCACAGGGAACCACGUAAGGAGCUUCUAGAUACAAGCCUCACCCCUGAGGACAAAACUGACUUUCCUCAGGACCCAAAAGUCCCGGGGAUUUUGGUUUCUUUAUGGCCGGGAGUCAGGAAAGACCCUGCCUGCCCAGUGGCGAGGACACGUGGCCUCUCCUUCUCUGCUUCCUCGGGACAGGAAAUGGCAGGCAGCACCUCGCUUUAAUCCAUGUCCAGCCCAACACCCCUUCCUAUGUUGGAAAACUCAUAGAAUCCAUCCGGGGAAGAAAAGGUGCUGCAGUUCCAGUUGCAACGACACCCUCUGUUCACUGCUGCCCGGGCCCUGUGGCACUGGAAAACAAAAGAGAGCAAGAGAGAAGACAGUGGGUGAAGUCCUGGUUCCAGACUCCCCUUUUUGCCGGGAUAUGAUGGAUCUGUCAGCUGGUGCCUAGAGUCCUAGAGAGCUAGAGAUGGAGGGAAAUUCAGAUCAUCUAAACCCUUCAGCCCUUCACUGGACAGAAGAGGAAACUGAGGCUCCAUCUGCAUGACGUUCCCAGAGUCACGGCACAAAUUCAUGGAAGAAGCAGCAGGAAACUCAGUUCUCCAGUCUGGGUCCAAUGUGUGUUUUAGAAAUAUCUCCACAGGGUUAAUGACUCAAUUUUUCAUGCAUGAUUGCUAGUAAUGACAAUCAUGUUAUGUUUGUUUCUGUAGCUUUGGAAAUCACUCCUUCCACUUGAGUUUCAGGUCCCAACUGUCCACACCUGCAGGAGUGAGGUUUUGCUGAGACUGAUAAGGCACUCACAUUUUGUGGGAGUUGAAUUGUCUCUGUAGCCUAGAAUCUAGAUUUUUUUCCCUCCUCUGCUCUCAGUGAACGGAGAAUUCCAUCUCGGUACAAUCUGUGAACCAUUCUGCAGUAAGAUUGUCAUCGUCUCAUUCAUACUACCUGGUCGGUAACACAAAGGGCUGUAAUUGAUGUGGUUCAGAGACUCACAUCCAAGCAAUAAAAAUGAAUCCCUUAUGGUGGUCUGCAGCAACGCAAA
This 1109-nucleotide long non-coding RNA is filed under the name Homo sapiens (human). RNAcentral's name for it is "lncRNA associated with SART3 regulation of splicing". Lineage: Eukaryota; Metazoa; Chordata; Mammalia; Primates; Hominidae. The record is from RNAcentral.